This is a non-coding RNA of Pelobates cultripes (western spadefoot toad), 1425 nucleotides long. NCBI's taxonomy places the organism in Eukaryota, Metazoa, Chordata, Amphibia, Anura, Pelobatidae. The record is from the annotation of a GenBank genome assembly.
ACUUGUACCACUCUUUUAAAAAACUUGGGCUCUCCAUAUGAUGUCAGUGGGAAUGGGGUGGAGCUUGGGUACUGAAGAAAAUGCACAGGAAUUAAAAUGUAUGUUUCCCUAGCAUCUUUACCACUGUGCAUCAUUACCACUGCAAUAAGCUAUAGUAUAUAUGGUGCUUUGAAGAAUGUGCAUUUAAUCACACUGGCACAUCUGUUCACCGGUACUGCAAUAUGCAAAGGAAAUGUUAUAAUGUCAAUAGCGGCACCAUAAAUAUAUAACUAUUAGCUGAAUGAAAAAAGCAGGAGGCACUUCAAUGGACACUCGAAGAACCACACUACCUCCCUACCGCUAUAUGUAGUGGUUAUGGUAGAAGAAGCCUUUGAGUUCCGUUUGCCCGAUUUUCUGCCAAGACAUGUAAAAUCUAUUUGACAAAAACAGGACUCUCCCUGCCCCUUCCCGGCUACUUCCAUAAUACAGAGGGGUCACUUUAUUUAUGUAUAUCUUGAUAUAUUUUGUAAUAUAUGCACACUUGACCACAUAUUGCAAUAAGGAAUUAUAGUUACUUGAUCCCAGAAAGUUAAUAAAAUCCUAGCUAUGGAGGUAACAUGCACAAAAUACACUGGCAAGCAUGGUAAAUCGAGCAAAGCACACUUUUUUCCAGGUAAAAUCAUUCCGUAUAGCAACUAAGGGUCAUAAUUCUAAUGGCAGACAUACCUGAAUAUAAACUGAAUUUCCAUUAAGAUUACAAGUAUAUUUAAAAGUUGCAAGAUUUGACCGUUAAGCAUUUUAGGACAGCAUGGUGCUCAGCAUUUUAGAGAAAACAUUCAACAGCCUUUAUUUUAUGUCUUCUCCAGAGUAACUGGCUGUAAAACAGUGAAGAGUUUUCUAAAUCGUUAGGGGAGUAAUAGGUAAAGAAGUAACACAAACUAGUGCAUUAUAUAAAGGUACAAUGCUAGCACUUGAAGAUUGGCACGUCUCCACUCUAACAAGUACAGAAGGGCAAUCCUGAUUUUGGGCCCUUAUCCUGCCAUCCCAAGUUGGUACUCCCGUGCCUCAUUUUUGUUGACGCUCAUUACAGCUCACCAGUAAGCAUAGUGUAAGUGCACCAUUAAAGACAUUUCAUGCAGCACUAAACUAAAUCAGAGUGUUUAACCCAUAUGAGAGCUAGUUAUCAAUGUAAUGAACAUGGACAGCACGUGGGGGACUGCCUAGCCAGGGUCACGGUGACCCACUCUUUGUUCCAUUCUGCCUUGUACUUUCUUGAUAACAUUCCUAUUGUUGGCAAGUAAUCAAAGAGGGUGAAGGAGCGUGCAUGAAUUCCAGAGGCCAAGUAAUUCGUUUCAUUGCCCUCUUCUAUGUUGACAUCUGAGGAGAGGAGGGUAUGAAAUGAAGACUGCAAUUCCCUGGGGUCUGUAAUGUCUUUCCAGGGACCCA